RNAcentral lists this ribosomal RNA (520 nucleotides) under uncultured bacterium. RNAcentral's name for it is "bacterial SSU rRNA". It matches the Rfam family "Archaeal small subunit ribosomal RNA", at positions 345 to 866 of the family's 1478-position model. The record is from RNAcentral.
AACCUCCGCAAUGUGAGAAAUCGCGACGGGGGGAUCCCAAGUGCCAUUCUUAACGGGAUGGCUUUUCUUAAGUGUAAAAAGCUUUUGGAAUAAGAGCUGGGCAAGACCGGUGCCAGCCGCCGCGGUAACACCGGCAGCUCUAGUGGUAGCUGUUUUUAUUGGGCCUAAAGCGUUCGUAGCCGGUUUGAUAAGUCACUGGUGAAAUCCUGUAGCUUAACUGUGGGAAUUGCUGGUGAUACUGUUGAACUUGAGGUCGGGAGAGGUUAGCGGUACUCCCAGGGUAGAGGUGAAAUUCUGUAAUCCUGGGAGGACCACCUGUGGCGAAGGCGGCUAACUGGAACGAACCUGACGGUGAGGGACGAAAGCUAGGGGCGCGAACCGGAUUAGAUACCCGGGUAGUCCUAGCCGUAAACGAUGCGGACUUGGUGUUGGAUGGCUUUGAGCCGCUCCGGUGCCGAAGGGAAGCUGUUAAGUCCGCCGCCUGGGAAGUACGGUCGCAAGACUGAAACUUAAAGGAAUU